Transfer RNA from Ipomoea nil (Japanese morning glory), 72 nucleotides. It matches the Rfam family "tRNA". Rfam says of the family: Transfer RNA (tRNA) molecules are approximately 80 nucleotides in length. Their secondary structure includes four short double-helical elements and three loops (D, anti-codon, and T loops). The record is from Rfam. NCBI's taxonomy places the organism in Eukaryota, Viridiplantae, Streptophyta, Magnoliopsida, Solanales, Convolvulaceae.
GGGUGUUUGGUCUAGUGGUAUGAUUCUUGCUUUGGGUACAAAAGGUUGUGAGUGCGAUUCUCACAACACCCC